UGCUGGGAUUACAGGUGUGAGCCACCAUGCCUGGCCAGAAGUGACCUCUUUUGAAAAACCCUUUCUGAGUCCUCAGCCUGGGUUAGGUACCCUUCUCCUUUGCUACCAACCUCAUAGUCCUUAUCACUUUGUACUGUGUUAGCUUAUGUUUCUAUUUACAGACUCCCUAAGACAAUGUCUGUGUCUUAACUUUGUAUCCCCAGGGCUGCAGUGUACAGUUGUAUAGGUUAUGCACUGUGAGAGGAUGCCUGGCUAAGGAAAUAAGCAGUGGAUGAAGGCCAUUAGUCAACUGUGCACCUGGUACAGGCCUGUAUCCAGACUGUUUUCUAAUUUGCACAAAGGUGCUUGUGUGACACCAGUGGGCCCUGUGUAUCCCCUGUGCUUGUUAUAGAGUUGGCACACAGUAUUACAAUAGGUGCUCAUUAAAUGUUGAGUAAAGAUGGACGGAUGUUCUAGGCAAAGGUACCAGGGGUAGAGAUGGGGGGAAAUCUGGCCUAAUAGGGUGGUAUUGGAUACUCAGUAUUGACUUAGGGUGGUUGCAGCUAGUUUGUAGAGGGUCCGUUAUGUUGGGCUGAGGGACUAACUCUUUAAUUCAGGAGGCAGUGAGGAACUUUGUGAAUUUUUGAUAGGACUGUGAUAUAGAAUUUCAAAAUAUUCAGGCUUGAAAAUGAGACUCAGAGAAGUAAAGUGACUUUUUCAAGGACACACAGAAAGUUAGAGGCAGGGCCCAGACUUGAAUUUGAUUUUCUUACUCCUAGCUCAGUACAGGUCUGGGGAACUGCACUCUGGGGAGCUGCACUCUGGGAUAGCUCAGAACUGAGGCUGAGCCCUCUAAGGCUCAAAACCAAAUCAUCCCAGCCUUGGUGACUCUAUCUCUUCCCUGACACAUGUUCCUGGACGUGUUGGGUAAAUGGAUGACAGCCAGGCAGAUGGGAGGUGAGGACAGUUAGGAGACCGCUGCAGUCCAUGGUUCAGCCUCAUUCAUGGUGCACCACUGGUUCUGUCCUCAGAAUAUUUACCGACUUGCAGGCAUGGCAAAUUGCCCGUGCCUUUCUCUUCUUCCCACAGGUGAACAUUCGAGUCUUUUCACUACGAGCUAUCUCUCUCCUUACAAAUCUCUUGGUUGCUCAUCUCUGGACCUGGGCUAGUUUCUUUAGAUUCUUUCUUUUCUUUCUUUCUUUCUUUCCUUCCUUCCUUCCUUCCUUCCUUCCUUCCUUCCUUCCUUCCUUCCUUCCUUCUUUCUUUUCUUUUCUUUUCUUUUCUUUUUUUUUUUUUUAAGCCAGAGUCUUGCCCUGUUGCCCAGCCUGGAGUGCAAUGGAGCGAUCUUGGCUCACUGCAACCUCCAACUCCCAGGUUCAAGAAAUU
RNAcentral lists this long non-coding RNA (1365 nucleotides) under Homo sapiens (human). RNAcentral describes it as "HSALNT0126899". Lineage: Eukaryota; Metazoa; Chordata; Mammalia; Primates; Hominidae. The record is from RNAcentral.